This 1389-nucleotide long non-coding RNA is filed under the name Salmo salar (Atlantic salmon). Its description in RNAcentral is "lncRNA (ENSSSAG00000113193.1, ENSSSAG00000118336.1)". The record is from RNAcentral. Lineage: Eukaryota; Metazoa; Chordata; Actinopteri; Salmoniformes; Salmonidae.
CCCAUUGGCUUCUGGCUUGCGAUGGCAGCGGACCAAUAGCAGUGAAUUGAAGGCGGUGCCUUGUGAAUCUCGCCUGGCUGCACGCGCAGGGGAGUGGGGGCGUGGCAUUUUUUUGAGGAAAAAAAGCUAAACAAUCUUUAAUAUUUCAAAUUGACUGUGUCGGCUUUUUAAGUUGUCUCGGCUGGUGGAGAAGUCCAUACCUUAGAAUAGUGGUAACACACGGGGAUCCACUCAAGACAGGCCUGAAUGUAUUUUCUUCCAAAUUUCUGGACGAAAAGGUAUAGAAAGCGGGUAAUCUUUCUUUAGUCACCACUCCGGUCAGACGAUGAAUUCUAAACGUUUGCUUGACAUGUCUCCGGCUGAAAUACUGGUCGGGGGCGCUUCGAAACAAGCCGGUAUUGACCAGCAUGCAGAGGGUUCCAAGGGAAGCGAAAUGAGUGUCACCACUACUGACAGCGGUGUCAUUCUGGCGUGCGGGAGCGGGCCCGCAUCAGGAGCAGUUUUCUGCACAUUCGUGCUAGACGAUGGCACUUUGAGAGAAUGUACAAACCAGGACAUUAUCCUCAAUGGGAAUGACCUGUCGUCAGGGAAAGAAAAAUACGCGCACCGGAAAAUAAUGGGUUGUGGUGGCGAGGCAGAUGAGAGGAACAGUGGUCUGACUGGGGUCCUUACUAACGGCAGUCCCACUCACUGCCUGAUCCUGAACGGGCAGAAGCCGGACAGACACAUGCACUCGAAAGUGAGGAAUCCGCUGGUGCCCGAUGGUUUCCAGGAAACCGGACAUCAAGUGCCACCUGAGGAGAGAAAUUCCCACCCCUCCUCCCACAUACCUGUCCCCCGACGCAGGUAUUGACUCUGAUGCAGUUGUUGAAGUGAAUGGAAAUAGUGCCCCUAGUUUAUCUAUGUCAACACUGUGACAGAUUGCCACUAGGGCCGUGACGGUCAUGGAAAUUUGGAUGCCGGUUAUUGGUCUGCCAAAAUACGCACAUUUUCUCCUCUCCUCCACCCCUGACUGCAUGUGCUGCUGCUGCUGGAAGGGGGCAUUGCCUAGGCAACCAAGGACUCGUUUGUUACAACACCCUGGUUUUUUUCAGCAAGAAGCAACAAAGUUUCAUCAUGUUGUAAAGAGUCCAUGUUACCGAGUAAAUGGACUCAACCACACCAAUGCUCGGUCGUCCCAAGUCAGUUGUUCGUUCUACAAAAAAAGGAAAAAAAGAAUGAUAAAACAACGGUUAUGACGGUUAUUCCUUUUCAUGACAGUCUUCAUCCAUAAUCGACAGAGUUCCUGGAGCAGUAACGCACAGAAGAAUUGCAGCCCACGCAGAGAUGGACAAGAUUGAACUUCACUAAAAUGUGCACAAUCUUUCCUGGCUUGAUUAUAUAACCUCC